RNAcentral lists this transfer RNA (81 nucleotides) under Devosia psychrophila. RNAcentral describes it as "tRNA_Pseudo_???". The record is from RNAcentral. Lineage: Bacteria; Pseudomonadati; Pseudomonadota; Alphaproteobacteria; Hyphomicrobiales; Devosiaceae.
UUGAAACUAUUGAUGUGGGAACACGAUACCAGCCGGCUGUCACGCCGGAGGUCGCGGGUUCGAGUCCCGUCUCUCGCGCCA